UCCUGCUCCACCUGCUGCUGAUCACAUUACACCACCCAACGCCCCGACGGCUGCACCAAUCUCAAAGGAGGAUAAGACACCUCAACAAAAGUCUUUAGAUCUAGCAGAGGGGCAACCCGAACCUGAGGUCACACCUGGGGAGCCAAUCAGAAUGGAGGGCGUGUUGGAGAUUAAGCUGAAACAAGGAGGAAACAAGGGUCUGGAGCACUGGGAGGAGGUCUUUGCUGU
Pundamilia nyererei is the source of this 228-nucleotide long non-coding RNA. RefSeq lists it as uncharacterized. The record is from RefSeq and is a predicted model, not a curated record. The transcript has 4 exons. NCBI's taxonomy places the organism in Eukaryota, Metazoa, Chordata, Actinopteri, Cichliformes, Cichlidae.